Molecule: ribosomal RNA, 921 nt
Filed under: uncultured Methanosarcina sp.
Lineage: Archaea; Methanobacteriati; Methanobacteriota; Methanomicrobia; Methanosarcinales; Methanosarcinaceae
Description: bacterial SSU rRNA
Rfam family: Archaeal small subunit ribosomal RNA
Source: RNAcentral
UUCCGGUUGAUCCCGCCGGAGGUUACUGCUAUCGGUGUUCGCCUAAGCCAUGCGAGUCAUAUGUUCUUCGUGAACAUGGCGUACUGCUCAGUAACACGUGGAUAACCUGCCCUUGGGUCCGGCAUAACCCCGGGAAACUGGGGAUAAUUCCGGAUAACGCACAUAUGCUGGAAUGCUUUAUGCGUAAAAUGGAUUCGUCUGCCCAAGGAUGGGUCUGCGGCCUAUCAGGUAGUAGUGGGUGUAAUGUACCUACUAGCCUACAACGGGUACGGGUUGUGAGAGCAAGAGCCCGGAGAUGGAUUCUGAGACAUGAAUCCAGGCCCUACGGGGCGCAGCAGGCGCGAAAACUUUACAAUGCGGGAAACCGUGAUAAGGGGACACCGAGUGCUAGCAUCAUAUGCUGGCUGUCCAGGUGUGUAAAAUACACCUGUUAGCAAGGGCCGGGCAAGACCGGUGCCAGCCGCCGCGGUAACACCGGCGGCCCGAGUGGUGAUCGUGAUUAUUGGGUCUAAAGGGUCCGUAGCCGGUUUGGUCAGUCCUCCGGGAAAUCUGACAGCUCAACUGUUAGGCUUUCGGGGGAUACUGCCAGACUUGGAACCGGGAGAGGUAAGAGGUACUACAGGGGUAGGAGUGAAAUCUUGUAAUCCCUGUGGGACCACCUGUGGCGAAGGCGUCUUACCAGAACGGGUUCGACGGUGAGGGACGAAAGCUGGGGGCACGAACCGGAUUAGAUACCCGGGUAGUCCCAGCCGUAAACGAUGCUCGCUAGGUGUCAGGCAUGGCGCGACCGUGUCUGGUGCCGCAGGGAAGCCGUGAAGCGAGCCACCUGGGAAGUACGGCCGCAAGGCUGAAACUUAAAGGAAUUGGCGGGGGAGCACAACAACGGGUGGAGCCUGCGGUUUAAUUGGAUUCAACGCCGGG